UGGGGAAUAUUGGACAAUGGGCGAAAGCCUGAUCCAGCCAUGCCGCGUGUGUGAAGAAGGUCUUCGGAUUGUAAAGCACUUUAAGUUGGGAGGAAGGGCAGUAAGUUAAUACCUUGCUGUUUUGACGUUACCAACAGAAUAAGCACCGGCUAACUUCGUGCCAGCAGCCGCGGUAAUACGAAGGGUGCAAGCGUUAAUCGGAAUUACUGGGCGUAAAGCGCGCGUAGGUGGUUCAGCAAGUUGGAUGUGAAAUCCCCGGGCUCAACCUGGGAACUGCAUCCAAAACUACUGAGCUAGAGUACGGUAGAGGGUGGUGGAAUUUCCUGUGUAGCGGUGAAAUGCGUAGAUAUAGGAAGGAACACCAGUGGCGAAGGCGACCACCUGGACUGAUACUGACACUGAGGUGCGAAAAGCGUGGGGAGCAAAACAGGAUUAGAUACCCUGGUAGUCCACGCCGUAAACGAUGUCGACUAGCCGUUGGGAUCCUUGAGAUCUUAGUGGCGCAGCUAACGCGAUAAGUCGACCGCCUGGGGAGUACGGCCGCAAGGUU
Molecule: ribosomal RNA, 550 nt
Filed under: uncultured bacterium
Lineage: Bacteria
Description: partial 16S ribosomal RNA
Rfam family: Bacterial small subunit ribosomal RNA
Source: RNAcentral